Molecule: long non-coding RNA, 932 nt
Organism: Alligator mississippiensis (American alligator)
Lineage: Eukaryota; Metazoa; Chordata; Crocodylia; Alligatoridae
Exons: 3
Source: RefSeq, a predicted model, not a curated record
UGAUACUGAACAGGUUGGGUUUUCCACUUGAGCGAUGUCAAGGAACUCGACGGCGUUUGCCGAGGGUAAGGCCAUGGCGAUGAGAGGACGUCUCCCUUUGGGAACCUCCUCCUGGCCGGAGAGACCAGGACAUGCCCCAGCAAGGCCGGGUGAUCACCAUGCCCUGUGCCCGGGAUCGGGAGCUGCAAGGACCGGCCUUUCGUCGCCUGCUUGCUCCCCGCUCUGCUUGCACUGCGGGCCCGAUGUGGCGAUGGAAGGGGCCCGUGUGACAGCAGCGAGCGCUGGCGAGAGGCUUCCUGGGCUGCAGAGCAUUAUUUUCCAUGGUAACCAGCCUAUCAACAAGCCCAAGAACAGCAACUUGUUUGGAAAACAAGACAGCGCUCAGCCUCCGUGCUGCCUCUUCUGGCUCGGUGAGUGGCACACGCGUUCAUCACGGGUGACACCGGGGUCCCCCCCGCCCCCACGAGGCAUCACGUGGUGCGAGGAUUAAUGAUCUCAUUACUCCCCAACAACUAAUUCAUUUAAAGGACUAACACGGAGAGCACAUCAAUCCAGCUACCAGGGUGAAGGAAACCUCCCCAACAUACCAGGCGCUGUGCGCUCGCUGCCCAUAAAGCCCAAAGCAGCACAUGCUGUGCGGUGUUAUAGCCGUGCCUGUGGAUACCGCUUUUCCCUGUGUUUUCAAGUGCUCAGAAGACAACAGGACAGCACAGCGAGCCCGCCUGAAACCAUGGCAGACGUAACGGCGUGGGGAUGGACUGCGGCAUCCUGGUGCCCAGACGUGUCUGCACGUGUGUGUGUAUCAUGCUGGCUCCUGGGUCCUGUUAGUCCUCAUCUGGGGUCUUCCAGAGAUGUCUGAGGUAUGGCGGGGCAGAGGAAAUGACAGACCACAGAGCUCAAAUGGGGUUUAUCUGGAGUAAAUCAUUAACCAA